UCGUUCUGGGCACUCAAGCAGCUGGCUUGUUUGUUUUGUAGGUUUUGCUCACACAGCCCUAAAGACAUACAACAACCCUGUGAUCCCGGCCAUGAAAGCCUUUGACAACACAUGCCCAGCUCUUUAAGCCGCUCCUCAUAGGGCUUGUUUUCCAGACCCUUGAUCAUUUUGGUUGCCUUCCUCUGGACACAUUCCAGCUUGUCAACAUCUCCCAACAUCUCUUUUCUGAGUGUUGUUCUUUAUUUACUUUUCCGAUUUUAGAGAUAGCUAGAUUUUGUUCCUUUUCAUGGUUUCCCCCUUUUUGUUGAAAUUGCCCACAUGCUUGUAGAUUUGAAUGGCUUCUCUGUGUAGCCUGACCUGGUGGUGGUGAGAGUGUUGGACAGACACUCCCUUGAGAGGUGCUGAAAUCCAGCAUAAUCUGAACUGGGGCAUGCCAUGCCUUUCUGCUGCAAAGCUGAACUGAAAGGGUUAAGCACACUGAGCUUUGCAUUUUGCCUAGACCGAUCAGAAAGCAAAAAAAGGAAUAACAUAUGGAGAGGAAAACCCCCUUCCUGUUUCAUUUCCCUCCUCUUUUGCAGAGAGAAAUAGCUCAGAAAAAGCUGCAGCAGAGGAGAGAUUGGCCAAGCUUGUAAGAGAAAUGGGUGAACAGGAAGCAUCAGCACCCAAAAUGAAGGAAGAAUCAGAAGAGAGGAAAGAAAUUCCUCCCGUUGUCCAAGAAAACACUACAGGAGUGUUCUUGUUCACGAAAGGCCCAGAUGAAAUGAAGGAAGAACCAAAGGAAGGAUCCCAAAAGAACUGGGAGUCACAUUGGCAGGAAUUCAUGAACACGGUGGAGUCUCGGUGCCACCAAACUGAUGGGUCAAGGCCACCUCAUCCUUGGCCGGAGGAGGACACAAAGGCAUUUCAGACCUCCUUGGAAGGAGCGGCUGAUGGCAUCUCUCAGUCAAGAGGAGAGAAUGUAGUCCAAAACCAUUGUAAUGAUGGCUCGGUGGCUGACGAAAGCCAGGUAUUUCACCUGAAAGUUAAGGAUGAGGAGGAUGAAGAAGAGGCGGAGCAAUUCAAUCUGUUGGGCUGCCAAAGUGCCAAUGGAUCUCAAGAGGAAGACACGGCUGAGCCAGCAGCUAGAGAAGGCCGUCACUCAGCAAGGCCUCCGCGCAGGAUUGCCUAUUGGAGCGGCAAGGAGAUCAAUGCUCUCCUGGAUUACAUCCUGCGGUGCCAGAAGCUGUAUGUGCAGAGGGUGAUGGCAAGCACCAACUUGCGCACCAGAAACGUGUGGAUCGGGGCUUCCAGGGCCAUGGCCUUACUUGGCCUGAACAGAACCCCUGACCAGUGCCACACUAAAUUUAAGGCAUUGAAAUCAGCGUUCUAUCGGGCCAUGGAACGCCACGGUGGAGUGGUGCCACGGAAGAUGCAGCCACCCUUCUUUGCGAAGCUCCACCAGCUCUGGGAGAUAGGAGGCAGGGCAGACUGGAGAGACCGGAGGCCUGUUGCAGAUGCAUAUGAUCUCAAGGGGGGAGCAGGAGAUUCCAGUCUGAGUGGAGAGGAAAGUGGUGAGGAGGAGAGGGGCCCCAUUGCUCCUGCGCCAGGGCAAGCACACCAUGCAGCUGAACAUGGAGCUGUCCAGGAAGCAGCUGGUCUGCGCCAACUACAGCGACAGCACAUGGCAUUGGAGCAGCGUGUGAGUGCGAUCGAGAACACAUUUUCCAGGCUACAGGCAAACAUUCAGGAACUCCUUGCCCGUCUCCCUGCGCUACCCCCACCCUCUCCCCAAAACUAA
Anolis carolinensis (green anole) is the source of this 1777-nucleotide long non-coding RNA. The record is from Ensembl. NCBI's taxonomy places the organism in Eukaryota, Metazoa, Chordata, Lepidosauria, Squamata, Anolidae.